CCUACGGGUGGCAGCAGUGAGGAAUAUUGGUCAAUGGACGAGAGUCUGAACCAGCCAAGUAGCGUGAAGGAUGACUGCCCUAUGGGUUGUAAACUUCUUUUAUAAAGGAAUAAAACGAGGCACGUGUGCCUUUUUGCAUGUACUUUAUGAAUAAGGAUCGGCUAACUCCGUGCCAGCAGCCGCGGUAAUACGGAGGAUCCGAGCGUUAUCCGGAUUUAUUGGGUUUAAAGGGAGCGUAGAUGGGUUGUUAAGUCAGUUGUGAAAGGUUGCGGCUCAACCGUAAAAUUGCAAUUGAUACUGGCAGUCUUGAGUACAGUUGAGGUAGGCGGAAUUCGUGGUGUAGCGGUGAAAUGCUUAGAUAUCACGAAGAACCCCGAUUGCGAAGGCAGCUUACUAAACUGUGACUGACAUUGAUGCUCGAAAGUGUGGGUAUCAAACAGGAUUAGAUACCCGUGUAGUC
This 460-nucleotide ribosomal RNA is filed under the name uncultured bacterium. RNAcentral's name for it is "partial 16S ribosomal RNA". It matches the Rfam family "Bacterial small subunit ribosomal RNA", at positions 338 to 795 of the family's 1533-position model. The record is from RNAcentral.